This is a long non-coding RNA of Anolis carolinensis (green anole), 1888 nucleotides long. RefSeq lists it as uncharacterized. The record is from RefSeq and is a predicted model, not a curated record. NCBI's taxonomy places the organism in Eukaryota, Metazoa, Chordata, Lepidosauria, Squamata, Anolidae. The transcript is spliced from 3 exons.
GAAAGGGGGCGGUAGGCCAAAUAGUUUGGGAACCACUGAUGUAGACUGACCCUCUUCUACAGGUAGAAAGGAGCCAUCCAAACUCUCUAACAUCAAUUUGCUUCCUCUACUGAGUUGGAGGGGACCCUCAAGACACAUCUAUAUAGGUCAUUACUUUUUUACAGCCCAGCACAGAGAUUGGCUUAGAACAAAUCAAUUAUUCCCCCCAAAAGCAACAACACCAAUUCCCUUCAAUGUCUGUCUACAUGACACAUAAUUAACCACAUAACUUCAAUUUAGUACAGAGUUAUACUUACUUUAGUUCUCUUUUCAGAUUCAAUCAUUUUAUUUUAUCAUUACUGACUCUAAAUGGCUGAUUGGCUGCACCCCACAGUGCCUUGCUCAUGGCAAUCGGGCCAAAAUAGAAGUAUUGGGUUUUUUAAAACAGUUUAUAUUCUCUUGGUUUUACAAAAGUUGCUUAAUGCUUGCUUACUUUAGACCUCUUUGCAGAUUCAAUCAUGUUGUUUAUUUUAUUUAGACAAACUCUAAAUGGCAAUUGCUGUAGCCAGCUAUUUGAGUCCUUCAGCUAUCAUUUGGCUCCUGAGCAGCUUUGCAUUCUGGGAAAUGUAGUUUAUGGCAGGGUCUUCUGCAAUCUCUAUCAUUGGGGGCCUGGCCUUCCCAAACUACAGUCAGAAUGACUGUGAUUAGCCAUGCCCACAACACCUCCCUUAUGGCAGCACUCACAAAGAUGGAGUCAAAGGAAUGAAAUUUUAAAAGCACUUUAAGUUAGGCUUUACCAAAGUUGUUUAAUGGUUAGUGAAAAUUAAACUGACCUUUGGAGAUGUUACAGAACAUUUAUGAAAAAUGGGCCAAAAAGAACCCAGACAAUUCUCUGACCUAACUCUAAGAAGCUCUGAUCUGGAAUGAAAAUGGAGGGAAAAGGGCCUCUGAGAUGAGCUCUCAGACAGCAGGGCUGAACCAACUUACUCAAGCCUACAGAGGAGUCUUAAACUCCACCUCUAAAUAAGAGCAAAUGGAACAGUCCACCCAAGAGAAGCCAAACCAGGAAAAGGGCAGAGGAGAGAAAAGCUAAGUACUAUGAGGAUGGAUUUUUAGCAGUAUCCAUACUAUGGGAAUUGUGAAGUAUGGCUGGAGAAACAUGGAUAUUCAGCGUUGGGUUGCCACAGCAUUGCCUGCUAUAAACAUUGCUAUAAAACUUGGGGGUGGGGAAAAAUGGCUUACCUGACCUUCUUGUGUCAUUUCAUGUAUGCACAUUGUUAUUCCGAAUGAAAUUUUUUGGGAACAUGGUGAAAUUCUCCUUUUCCUCCUUCUCUUCCUCCUUCUCCUUUUCCUCUCUGCUUUCCUCUUUCUCUCUUCUUCCCCUAUUCCUUCUUUUUCCUCUCUUAUUCUUCUCCCCCCUCCUCUUCCACCUCCUUUUCUUCUUCUUUGUGCUCCUUCUCUUUCUUCCCUUACUUAGGAGCAUGGGGGUAGAGGGGACCCCAUAAGCCUCAUCCCCUUUCAUCCCUGGGCAGAGGGAAGAGCCAGUGAGGGGAGAUCCUUCUGAGGAGGGCGGAAGGUAUUACUGUAUAUACAUGUAUUUGACUAAGUUUCUGUGGGAUCACUACUUGUGUAUGUGUGUGUUAAGGGAAAAAAACCUGGUCAAUUACAACUUAUAGUUGAGUAAUUAGAACAAUCAAGGCUAACAAGCUUGAACCACUCCCUGAAUGGGGUAUAACUUUGGGAAAUGUUUGUAAUGUCUUUUGGGGACUUACUGAAUACUUGCUGAGAGCCUACUAUGAAGAUGCAUGAGUUUAAUGCAAGGAACUUUAUGUAAGUUUUGUUGCUGGAAGUUUUAUUGUGUUUCUUUUUGACUCUGCUACUUAAGAGUAAAUCUUUGAUUUUUCUUCCA